GACGAACGCUGGCGGCGUGCUUAACACAUGCAAGUCGAACGGAAAGGCCUGCUUUCCCUUGUGGAUUGCGGGUACUCGAGUGGCGAACGGGUGAGUAACACGUGAGUGAUCUGCCCCCAACUUGGGUAUAAGCCUGGGAAACUGGGUCUAAUUCCCGAUAGGACUGCAGGGUGGUGCCUGUGGUGGAAAACGAUUUUCUAGUGGUUGGGGAUGAGCUCGCGGCCUAUCAGCUUGUUGGUGGGGUAAUGGCCUACCAAGGCGGCGACGGGUAGCCGGCCUGAGAGGGUGGACGGCCACAUUGGGACUGAGAUACGGCCCAGACUCCUACGGGAGGCAGCAGUGGGGAAUAUUGCACAAUGGGCGGAAGCCUGAUGCAGCGACGCCGCGUGGGGGAUGACGGCCUUCGGGUUGUAAACUCCUUUCGACCGCGAGGAAGCCACCUGGUUGGAAGGAUGGUGACGGUAGUGGUAGAAGAAGCACCGGCUAACUACGUG
This 494-nucleotide ribosomal RNA is filed under the name uncultured bacterium. Its description in RNAcentral is "partial 16S ribosomal RNA". It matches the Rfam family "Bacterial small subunit ribosomal RNA", at positions 28 to 507 of the family's 1533-position model. The record is from RNAcentral.